This is a long non-coding RNA of Callithrix jacchus (white-tufted-ear marmoset), 9406 nucleotides long. RefSeq lists it as uncharacterized. NCBI's taxonomy places the organism in Eukaryota, Metazoa, Chordata, Mammalia, Primates, Cebidae. The record is from RefSeq and is a predicted model, not a curated record.
CUCAGAUUACUUCUUUACUUAGAAAAACAAAACGUUGUUGCGGAAGAUUCAGAGCCACAGAUAUUCUUUCUGGGCCUGUCAGUUUCUGAAUUCUUAGAUUUUUCGUUUAAUUUAGCCAUCAGGGAAUUUCCCCGACUAGAAAUAUCAAAGCAGAACCCAAACAAAAUCUCUAGCAUGAGCUCUUAUCUUCCAGGCUGGUGAGAAUGGGAUGUGCCUCCACUCUGAAGUGAGCAAGGGUACUGGUUUUCACCCCGUGCAGUCAACCUGAGGAUCAGAGAGAAGGCCUGAAAUGGAAACCAAUGACUUCAUUUGUUGCUGAUCCACAGCAACAGUGAUGGACUCUAACACUGGAGGAAAAUCUGGCUGCACUGGAUUUAUGAAGAGCUGGUAAAGAAGAUUUUGCUCUGUCACCCUGGUGUGCAAUGGCAUGAUCUUGGCUCACUGCAACCUCCGCCUCUCCAGUUCAAGUGAUUCUCCUGCCUCAGCCUCCUGAGUAGCUGGGAUUACAGGCGCCUGCCACCAUGCCCAGCUAAGUUUUGUAUUUUCAGUAGAGACAGUUUUUCAUCAUGUUGGGCAGGUGGUCUCAAACUCCUGACCUCAAGUGAUUUGCCCGCCUCAGCCUCCCAAAGUGCUGCGAUUAUAGGUGUGAGCCACUGCACCCAGCCCGGAACCUCCCUUUCCAGUUUGGAUUCCCUCAGGUCCUCGACUCAUACCUCUGCACUUCCAGCAUUACCUCCUCCUUCUCCUCCAGUCGAAAUCCCACCCAUUUUACAAGUCCCACUUCAAAUCCUGAGUUCUUUGAUAAAGCCUUCCCAGGCUCUCCGACCCACAGAGACAGCUUCCCAAAUCUCAUUGCAUACAGUAGCUACACCAUUUGUUUGGCAAAUAUUCUGCCUUUCUGGCAUAUAUUCAUGACACAUUGUAGAUGCUGCAUGUAUGUUGAAUGAAUGAAUGAAUGAAUGAAUCUCUAUACCAGAUUAUAAAAAAAUUGAAAGUCGUGUCUUAUGCUCUGUUCUAAUCCAGGGCUGUAGAGUCAUUGAGGAGAGAUAUAUGGCAAUGAUGAAAAGAUUUUAAAAGCCUAGAAGCCCCAGGGAGGGAGUAGUAUUUCCCAGAGUCCUCUCUGCUUCUCUAGUUUAGAGCAACACCAAUUUACCUUCUGGCUAUGAUUGAAAUGUUUGUGUUCCCCAAAAUUCAUAUAUUAAAAACCAAAUCUUCAAGGUGAUGGAUGGUAUUAGCAGGUGGGUCCACGGGAGGUGAGUAGGUCAUGAGAGGAAGCCCUCAUGAAUGGAAUUAAUGCCCUUAAGAAAGAGGCCUCAGAGGGCUGCCUCUCCCCUUUCACCACGUGCGGACAAGGAGAGAAGGUGCUGCUCACCAACCAGAAGGCAGGCCCUCCGCAGACACCACAUUGGCCGGCACCUUGAUCAAAGACUUCCCAGCCUCCAGAACCAUGAAGAAACACACCGUUGUUGUUUAUUUAUUUAUUUAUUUAUUUAUUUUCGAGACAGAUUUUCACUCUUGUUGCCCAGGCUGGAGUGCAAUGUCGCAAUCUCUGAUCACUGCAACCUCCGCUUCCUAGGUUCAAGUGAUUCUCCUGCCUCAGCCUCUGGAGUAGCUGGGACUACAGGCAUGUGCCACCACGACCGGCUAAUUUUUGUAUUUUUAGUAGAGACAGGAUUUCACUGGUCACGGGCCAGGCUGGUUUUGAACUCUUGACCUCAAGAGAUCCACCUGCCUUGGCCUCCCAAAGUGUUGGGAUUAUAGGCGUGAACCACUGCACCUGGCCCAUCGUUGUGGUUUAUAAGCCACUCAGUCAAUGUUAUAGCAGCCCAAACAGACUGAGACACUCCUGCAAAAGCAUGCCAAGAGCAAAGGAUCUUUUCUUCUUUCGGGGUCAGGGUCAGGGAUGGCCUUUAGUAACCAUUUUGCCUUGGACCUUAGCUAUCCAACUUCUCAUGCUCUCUUGAUUUGAUACCCAGGUAUAUGGCCAACAGACUCCGACAGGGCCACCAACAGCACGUCUGGAAAGUGCUCUGGUAUCACAAAGGUGUCUGUCAUUUCUCUCAGCCACCACAGCCUAUGGAGAGAGGGAUAGAAGUAAUAAGUGAGAAGACCCCUCAUACCUCUCUCUCUCUACCUCAUGAUGAUAUUCUUCAAAAUCUCUGGGCUCCUUUGUUUGAGCACCAUUAGUAUAUUAUAAUAUGGUAUGUUAUAAUACAGUGUAAUAUAAUGUAGUGUGGUAUAAUAUAUUACAUUAGCCAAUCUAUUUUUUGUUCAUUUUUUUAGGUUUCUGGAGGUCUAGUUUCUGUUACUCUGUUGUCCCAUAAGUUGGAUACCACUAUUUUAUGUGUAAUUCAAUUUUUCUUUUUCUUUUGUUUUCUUUUCCACUGCAACCUCUGCCUCCCAGGUUCAACUGAUUCUCCUGCCUCAGCCUCCCGAGUAGCUGGGACUACAGGUGCAUGCCACCACGCCUGGCUAAUUUUUGUACUUUUAGUAGAGAUGUGAUUUCACCAUGUUGGCCAGGCUGGUCUUGAACUCCUGACCUUGUGAUCCACCCACCUCGGCCUCCCAAAGUGCUGAGAUUACAGGUGUGAGCCACUGCACCAGCCUUGUAAUUCGAUUUUUAUAGCUAAUGACAAUCACUUUCUGAAAAUAAAUGCUUUUACUUUUAUCUUAAUAUUUUGAAAAAAUAUCUUUAGCAGAACUUUUUCCUUAGCGGUGAAUAGCAUUCAUUGGAUAGUUCUUCCUGGUCAAGGGAAAGGGAAAAGGAAACUUUGGGUUACUUUUGGCCUUACGAUUCUAACUACCCAUCAGCGGACACAUCACAAAACGCUAUUUGUUGUCUCACAUAUUUGACAGAUGAGUUGAAAUCCUUUUAUAUAAUUCAGCAAACAUUUAACAUGGGAACACUGUGCUAGGCUUUUGUGAAAUAUGUAGAUGAAUGAGAAAGUCUUGGCCAUCCGUGGAUGAUAAGACACGAACAUAGAUAACUGCACAAGAACUAUUUCAGGCAUCCCUUCUGACUCACCACUGGCAAUAGAUUGGGCCUUAGACCAAGAAAAAUGAAACGCAAAAUUGAAAAAAAAAACAAUCCUUUCAAUUUACUGGGCAACCAACCAAAACUACAGACUUUUCAGGUUUUAGAUAACAUUACAAAGAAUCUUUCUUGAUUAUACUUUUGUUCUUGUAGCAAUACAAAAUGUUUUCUGUGUUUAUAGUUAAAGUGCUGGUUCUGGGACUGUUUUACCAUUGGGGAUAUAUGUGAAUUUUUACUUGUGUUUAAUUUCAGAGAAUGAAUACGUAAUUCUGGUCCUCCCCAGCCCCUGCCUACCUUUGGGCAGUGGGGGGUGGGGGAAAAUCAGGAAGGAACUAAAAUACAAGGCUUUUCCUCCCAUUUUACAUUCCAACUUGUCUCACAGGAAAUGAACAAAAUAGACAUUCUCAAAUGUAACAUUGUACUUUUCUGUGCUGUGCUACAAAAAGACCUUUACAGGAAUUUUUCCUGUGUGUGUUCCGGAAAUUGAAUUUUUUAAGGACAAAUGUGGAACUUGGAUUUUCUUUUCUUUUCUUUCUUUUUUUUUUUUUUUUGAGACAGAGUCUCACUGUGUCCCCGAGGCUGGAGUGCAGUGGAGGGGUCUCAGCUCGCUGCAACCUCCAGCUCCAGGGUUCAUGAGAUUCUCCUGUCUCAGCCUUCCAAGUAGCUGGUAUUACAGGCACCAGCCACUACACACAGCUUGUUUUUGUAUUUUUCGUAGAGAUAGGGUUUCACCAUCUAUCUUGGACCAUCUAUAGGCUGGUCUUGAACUCCUGGCCACAAGUGAUCCACCCACUUCGGCCUCCCAAAGUGUUGGGAGUAUAGGUGUGAACCUUUGAGCCUGGCCAAGAACUUGGAUUUUCAUUUCCUGAAGAAUAAAUGCCAAACUCUUUUACAUUGAAGAUCUGUAAAAUCUCAUCUCAUUAAAAUCAUUUCCAGCUUUAUCUAUAUAUCCAUCCUUACUCCAUAUAUCCAGCAAUAUCCUGUGAAGCAUGUCUAAUAUUUUUAUUUCUGAAACUGGAUUCUACCCCCCACUUUAAAAUACCCUUUUCUUUCCUCUCAAUCCUACUGCUAAAAUCCUCAUCUUUCAAGGCACAUCUUCAAAGAGGAGGCAUCCGUAAAGCAUCCCACUCACCAUUCUCCAAGCUAGUAUUUCUCCUUUCCUGAAUUUUAAUAAUUUUUCUAUAAUUAAGAGUUAUGGUGGGGCACAGUGGCUCACAGUCAAUCCCAGCACUUUGGGAGGUUGAGGUGGGCGGAUCACAAGGUCAGGAGUUCGAGACCAGCCUGGUCAAUACAGUGAAGCCCCGUCUCCACUAAAAAUACAAAAAUUAGCCAGGCAUGGUGACGCAGCUGUAGUCCCAGCUACACAGGAGGCUGAGGCAGGAGAAUUGCUUAAGCCCAGAGGGCACAAGAUUGCAGUGACCUGAGAUCGGCCACUGUACUCCAGCCUGGGCGACAGAGCAAGACUCCCUCUCAAUUAAAAAAAAAAAAAUGAAAAAAAAAAGUUAUUGCUUUUCUAAUUAGAAAUAAAAACUAAUUGGCUUGCCUUUGCUUUAUUGGUAAAUAAAUUUUAAAAAACUAAAAAGUAUGAACUAGCUUGUCAAAUAAAACAUGCACAUAACCUUUUUUUUUUUUUUUUUGAGACUGAAUCAAUCUUGGCUCACUGCAACCUCCACCUCCCAGGUUCAAGUGAUUCUCUUGCCUCAGCCUCCCUAGCAGCUGGAGUUACAGGUGCACGCCACCACGCCUGGCUAAUUUUUGUAUUCUUAGUAGAGAUGGGUUUUACUGCAACCUCAAUCUCCUGGACUCGAGCCAUCCUCCUGCUUCAGCCUCCUGAGUAGCUGGAACUGCAGAAGUAAGCCACCACACUAGCCAAUUUUUUUUUUAUUUUUAGGUUAAAGCCAAGGUCAUGCUAUGUUGCCCAGGCUAGUCUCAAACCCAGAUGGGUUUUGGCCAGGCUGGUCUUAAAUUCCUGACUUAAGGUGAUCCACUGACCUUGGCCUCCCAAAGUGCUGGGAUUACAGGCGUGAACCAUUGCAACCGGCCUAAACUUUUACACCUUGAAUGUGAGCAGGACAUAACUGAUAUCUGCCCAAAGGUGCAUCAGCCUCAUUCUCUGAUCAAUCUCUCCCGCUCUCCCACUUUCAGUCCCUACGCUCAUUCCAAAUAUGUAGCAAUAAAAAGUUUAUAAAAAGGGGAAAUAAAAAUGAUGUAGUUGGUUCAGAAUGCAAAAACUUAAAUACUUCCAUGGCACAGAAACAAACAAAAAUUACACAGGGAAGAGCUGAAUCGCAGCUAUAUACCUACUUGCCUUCUAUUCUCAGGUCCAGGGCUUUGGCUCCCACAAGGUAGUCAAGACUAACAGCAGACAGCAUCACGCAGAGACCUUUGAGGAUGGGGACUAGGGAUGGGGCUCCCUCUUGUGAUGGAGCCUGAAAAAACGUUGGAUACCCUAUGGCUUAAAGUUACGGAAGCACAGAAGUUGGGAAAAGAGGAAUUCAAGGACAGAGCCUGAUGUAGUGAAUGCAUCAAAAGAAAAAAAAAUAGCAACAUUUUAAUGGAAGAUUUUUUAAAUGACAAAUGAAUGCAUGUCAUAGUCCUAUAAAUUUUUCUCAAAUUGACACGUGGGUUUAAUUUUUUGGUAUUCCUGCCUUACUUUGAUAUUGUAAGUAUUUACAGUGUGUAAAUAUUGUGGUAUUUACAAUAUCAACAUAAGGAAAUAAGGCAGGAAUACCAAAAAGACUUCUGUGUUUCUGCUUCUGAACUGAGGUCCGGGCAGCUUUGCGGACGUAAAGGCAAUACUGUCAGGUAGGAAAAAGUGAGCAUGGAGGAAACAGGAAAGAGACAAUAAAUAAAAGACUACAGCUCUUUCCGCUCAGAAUAGCCUUGUGCAAAGUAAAAUUCAAAACCACAUUAAAAUAUUUUACAUAAGAAACAGCAUGAAUUCCACCUCCCCAGUUAAGAGUACGAAUUCACUCUAGAUAAAAUUAGGCUUGGCCACCUGUAAUCCCAGUGCUUUAGGAGGUCAAGGCAGGUGAAUCACCUGAGGUCAGCAGUUCGAGACCAGCCUGGCCAACAUGGUGAAACCCUGUCUCUACUAAAAAUACCAAAAAUUAGUCAGGCGGGCACCUGUAAUCCCAGCUACUCAAGAGUCUGAGACAAGAGAAUCGCUUGAACCCGGGAGGCUGAGGUUGCAGUGAGUCAAGAUCAUGCCAUUACAUUCUUGCCUGGGUGACAAGAGCAAAACUCCAUCUCAAAAAAAAAAAAGCAAAAGAAAAUAAGCCUGGCAUGGUGGCUCCUCCCUGUAAUUUCAGCAUUUUGGGAAGUCAUGGGUUUGAGACUAGCCUGGGCAACAUAGCAUGACCUUGACUUUAAUCUAAAAAUUAAAAAAAAUUAGCUAGUGUGGUGGCUCACUUCUGCAGUUCCAGCUACUCAGGAGGCUGAAGCGGGAGGAUGGCUUGAGUCCAGGAGAUUGAGGCUGCAGUAAGCUAUGAUCAUGUCACCGCACUCCAGCCUGGGCUGCAAAACAAGACUCUGUAUCAAAAAAAUAAAAUAAAAUAAAUAAAUAAUUUCAUAGAACUGCUUGAUAAGGAAUUGAAAAUAAAUGUGCUUAUGAUACAUAAAGAGAUAUAUUCCCUCCUUAAAAAAAGAACAAGAAAGUAGGAAGCAAAAAAAUCCAUUAUAGAACAAGAAAUAGGUAGCUCUGAAAGAGAAAUAGAAAUUUAAAAUUUGACAUUAAAAUUUUAAAAAUCAGUUGAAAAAAUGAACUCUAGGCUGGAUAUCUUCUCCAAAAGGAGAAAGAAGACGAGGGGAAAUAAUAUGGUUUUGAAGUUCUGUGAUAAAUGGAAUAUUAGUAAUUAAACAUAAUGGCAGGCGGGGCGCAGUGGCUCAUGCUUGUAAUCCCAGCACUUUGGGAGGCUGAGGCAGGUGGAUCACAAGAUCAGAGUUCAAGACCAGCCUGGCCAACGUGGUAAAACCCUACUAAAAAUACAAACAAAACAAAACAAAAAACAGCCGGGAGUGAUGGUUCACGCCUGUAAUCCCAGCUACUUGGGAGGCAGAGACAGGAGAAUUGCUUGCACCUGGGAGAUGGAGGUUGCAGUGAGCUGAGAUCAGGCCACUGCACUCCAGUCUGGGCAACAAAAAAGAAAAAGAAAAAGUAAUAAUAUAAAUUGAUUUAAUGUCCAAAAUUUCUUAUUGAAUCUCUGAUUGUCAUUUUUGGCAGCUUAGCUCCAUGUUGUCAGAAGGCAGCGUGCUAUGCUGUGAGAAACUCUCUUGUCUCCUCAGAGCUAUGCCAAAUGCAGUGAGAACCCUGGCUGAAAGUUAGGAAGUUGAUGUUAGCAACUUUGAGUGCUGCAUCCACCUUCACCGUAGAGGCUAAAUCCUUAUGCUUACAUGUAUCCCUGAAAGAUUUAAAGGCUCGUCACCCUUUCAUACCAAAAAAUAUCUUCUCCAUGCUUUAAAAGGGUUCCUUACUUUGCGGGGGGAGACAACCACAUAUAUCAUAUACCGAAAUUUAUCAUGAUAAGGUUCCAAAUCCUAUUUUAUAUUUUAAACUACACCAUGGUAAUAUUUAAACCAUCCCAUUCCAGACAAUAUCCCAUGCUAGAAGAGUAGAUAUCUUUUAAAAAAAAAUACUGGUCAAGAAUGGUGGCUCAUGACUGUAAUCCCAGCACUUUGGGAGGCUGAGGUGGGCAGAUCACGAGGUCAGGAGUUCCAGACCAGCUUGGCCAACAUGGUGAAACCCUAUCUCUACUAAAAUACAAAAAAUUGCCAGGCGUGUGGCAUGCCCCUGUAAUCUUAGCUACUCAGGAGGCUGAGGCAUGAGAAUCCCUUGAACCCAGGAGGCGGAGGUUGUAGUGAGCCAAGAUCAUGCACUCCAGCCUGGGUGACAGAGUGAGACCCUGUCUCCAGAAAAAAAAAAAAAAGAAAAAGGAAAAAAGUAGUUUAUCAAAUAAUAUACAUAUAAAAAAUUUUUAAGUCUAUUGUAAAAGAAUCAAAUUGUAUAGCCUCCAGUAGGAUAAAGAAAUAAAAUAUAGGAAACUUUAUCAAACCAAUUGGUUAGUCCAGGCAAACAAGACAGGUUGUGUUAAAGCAAUGAUGGAGAAGAAAAAAGGAAAGCAAAAGGAUAAUAAACAGAAAGCCUCUACUGAAAGAGCUUUUAAAAAUACCCAUGCUCUUUGGAACACUUGUGCACAGUUUGUGGGAAUGUAAAACGGUGCAGCUGCUAUGGAAAACAGAAUGGAGGUUCCUCAAAAAAUUAAAAAUAUACUUACCAUAUGAUCCAGCAAUUCCACUUCUAGCUAUAUCCAAAAGAAUUGAAAGCAGGAUUUCAAAGAGAUAUAGUAUUUGCAUACCCAUGUUCACAGAGGCAUUAUUCACAAUAGCCAAGAUGUGGAGACAAACUAAAUGCCCAUCGAUAGAUAAAUGGAGAAAGAAAAUGUGUUAUGUAUAUACCAUGAGAUAUUAUUCAGCCUUAAAAAGAAGGAAAUGCUCACACAAGCUACAACAUAGAUGAGCCUUGAGGACAUUACGUUAGACAUAAGCCACAAAAGACAAAUACUGUACGAUUCUACUUAUAUGAGGCAUCUAAAGUAGUUAAACUCAUAGAAACAAAAAGUAGAAUGGUGGUUGCUGGGAGCUGAAGAGAAGGAGAAGUGGGGAGUUUUUUAAUGGGUGUAGAGUUUCAGCUUUGCAUUAUGAAAAAGGUCUGGAAAUCUGUUGCACCACAACGAACACUUACUUAUCACUACUGAGCUGUACAUUUAAAAAUGGUUGAGAUGGUAAAGUUUACAUUGUGGGAUUUUCUUUUGUUGUUGUUGUUCGUCUAUUUUACCACAAUUUAAAAAAAAAAUGCCCAUUCUGGCCAGGCGUGGUAGCUCAUGACUGUAAUUUUGAGGGACUAUGUAACUUCACUUCUCAGGUCCGUAAGGGACGUGGUUUCAAAGGCAAGAACUUCCCAGAGCCAUACAUCCAUCCACCUCCCCAUCGGGGAGCCUAGAGUUCUUUGUCUAACUUUCCCCCGUGCAAGGGUAGACAGCCCAGGUGAGCUUACUUUGUUUAGAAAGCCAACCAAAUGCCUUGGAAGGAGGGGCUCUAUUGUGAGUCAGGCAGCCAAUCCAGCAUCAGAGUGAAAGAUCAAUCACUCCAGAGGAAGUUUGGAAAAGCUCCUCUAACUGGACGAAAACUUGAAUGGGGUGGGAGUAACUCCGGGGUUAAAUUUUCCCUACUCCCUUACCCCUGUACAUACGGAUUUCUCUCUCUGGGAUCCCCUCCCAUGGCAGUGUGGGAGCCUGCUUUCUGUCUCUCUCUUUACCUGUGUGGACUCCAUAUCUGGGUUCCCUCCAACGACAGUUUCUCUCUCUCUCUCUCUCU